Molecule: ribosomal RNA, 558 nt
Filed under: Dichrometra palmata
Lineage: Eukaryota; Metazoa; Echinodermata; Crinoidea; Comatulida; Mariametridae
Description: partial large subunit ribosomal RNA
Rfam family: Bacterial large subunit ribosomal RNA
Source: RNAcentral
AACAUCGCUCUUUGAAAAAAUAAUUAUAAAGAGUACUGCCUGCCCAGUGAUAAAAUUUAAACGGCCGCGGUAUUUUGACCGUGCAAAGGUAGCAUAAUCAUUUGUUCUUUAAUUGAGGACUAGUAUGAAAGGCAAAACGAAAGCUUAACUGUCUCCUUUUUAAAAAAUGAAAUUAGUAUUUUUGUGAAGAAACAAAAAUAAUAAAGUAAGACGAGAAGACCCUGUCGAGCUUAAGAAAAUUUUUAUAAUAAUAUUUUAACAAGAUAAACAAAACUUUACUAUAAAAAUAAAAUAAAAAUAUCUUUGGUUGGGGCAACCACGAAGAAAAAAAAACCUUCGUUUUUAAAGAAAAAUUUACAAAUUUAAAAAUUAUUAAAAAUUUAAAAGAUCCAGAAAAUUCUGAUCAAAGGAAAAAGUUACCGCAGGGAUAACAGCGUUAUUCUCUUUAAGAGCUCUUAUUGACAAGAGAGUUUGCGACCUCGAUGUUGGACCGGGGCACCCAAGAGGUGUAGCAGCCUCUAAAGGUAGGUCUGUUCGACCUUUAAAGCCCUACGUGAU